CAUAGGUACAAAGGGGUGACCCCCCGCACCCUUUCUAGGGCUUCUACCUUCAGAGUACGCUCUGUCAUUGUAUGCACAGACCAGGGCGCACUAGAUGCAUGUAUUCUGGCACCUCUAUGCUUCAACUGGGGUUCCGUACGCCCUUCCCUUAACCAAGAAGGAGAACUCACAGUGCUGCCAAAACUCCACAAUUCUAGACCAUAUAAGGAUGAACCCCGUGGACUAUAUAUAUUGAGGCUUUCACGUCUCCCAGACUCGGGCUACGUCCCGACAUUGCAGACCGCUCAUCCCGGUCUUACUGAGGGUGUCCUCAUUCUCAGACCACUCCCCGGAUCCUGCAAAAAUGAUACUGAUUGAUCAAAAUUCUGGGUGACCCCCAGUUAUACGCGGAGGCCUACUGAGUGGCAAUAAGUGUACUGUUGUACGAUCCUGUCUCCCACGGACCGAAAGGGUGUGAACCAACAUGUCGGACUUACCUCAAUAUCUCCGACCGAUUUUCAGGCGAGGAUUAAGGCUGCCAUGACAGCUCCGGGGGAAGAAGUCCUCUCCAGUAUGCUGGCUAACAACCCAUCCGACAGAGCGGGUGCAACGGCAGCAACACCAAUGGAAGAUUGAGAUACCGACGUUAGGUCGGACACCCAUCAUCAGGGGACGAGGACUUCAUCCUCCCCCCCCUUCUCUGGAGAUCAUGAAAGAAUGGAGGGCAGAAGAGGUAAAAGUGACAAGACACGCCUAGCAAGAAAGGUUUUUUCUUUGGCACACUGGACACUCCUGUUUUGACUCACGCACCAUCCGACAAGCAGGGUCAUCCGAAUGGGGUUAACUGGAGCACCGGGCCCACUUCUGGCUUAGGAGGCCUAUGGGAAAAGAAAUCCGAGACCGGCUCAGGAUGGAAUGCCCACGCCCUCUAUGUCCGAACAAGAUAGUCCUCACUAUGGAGCUCGUG
Molecule: non-coding RNA, 946 nt
Organism: Pelobates cultripes (western spadefoot toad)
Lineage: Eukaryota; Metazoa; Chordata; Amphibia; Anura; Pelobatidae
Source: the annotation of a GenBank genome assembly